GCAUGGGUAACAUGAGCAAAGCACUUGUGAAGCCGGUCAGGUUAGAAAUAAAGCAGCCGUAGCAUUGUUUCUUUGGGUUAUGUUGCCCAUUUUUU
This is a non-coding RNA of Ehrlichia ruminantium str. Gardel, 95 nucleotides long. NCBI's taxonomy places the organism in Bacteria, Pseudomonadati, Pseudomonadota, Alphaproteobacteria, Rickettsiales, Anaplasmataceae. The record is from Rfam.